RNAcentral lists this ribosomal RNA (492 nucleotides) under uncultured bacterium. RNAcentral's name for it is "partial 16S ribosomal RNA". It matches the Rfam family "Bacterial small subunit ribosomal RNA", at positions 29 to 507 of the family's 1533-position model. The record is from RNAcentral.
AGUGAACGCUGGCGGCAGGCCUAACACAUGCAAGUCGAACGGCAGCACAGUAAGAGCUUGCUCUUACGGGCGGCGAGUGGCGGACGGGUGAGGAAUACAUCGGAAUCUACUUUUUCGUGGGGGCUAACGUAGGGAAACUUACGCUAAUACCGCAUACGACCUACGUGUGAAAGCAGGCGAUCUUCGGACCUUGCGCGAUUGAAUGAGCCGAUGUCGGAUUAGCUAGUUGGCGGGGUAAAGGCCCACCAAGGCGACGAUCCGUAGCUGGUCUGAGAGGAUGAUCAGCCACACUGGAAGUGAGACACGGUCCAGACUCCUACGGGAGGCAGCAGUGGAGAAUAUUGGACAAUGGGCGCGAGCCUAAUCCAGCCAUACCGCGUGAGUGAAGAAGGACUUCGGGUUGUAGAGCCCUUUUGUUGGGAGAGAAAAGCAGCAGGUUAAUACCCCGCUGUUCUGACGGUACCCAAAGAAUAAGCACCGGCUAACUUCGUG